AGCAGGCGGGGCGGGGCUCGGCCUCAGCCCCAGCGCAGAGGGACGUACGUGAUCCCGAGCCCGGCCCAGGGUUACCGAGCGUGUGGCCAGCCUGAGGGCGGGGGGGAAGAGGCUCAACAGUCCGGGCUGCGCCGUCUGUGACAUCCAGCGCCCCCGUUAGCUCGUGCCCGCCGCUGCCAGUGCAGCGUAUUGAACUGCUCCGCGUAGGAAUGCGCCGCUGGCAGCAGGGGAGGAAGCCUCCAGGCCUAUUAUGCAUCCUCUUGCUUAAUCAACUGGUGAGUGAAGGAAUCUACAUCAACAAUUUCUGCAAAAUUUAAGAUUAUUUUAGUGAAGUUUCUGGCUCUUAUGGCUGCUAGGAGAACCUCUGAAGUGUGAACUGACAUGUUCUGUCCUGCUGAGUGUGCAGCCAGCUUCAGUCUACUGUUUCUCAUGACAGUCCCAAAAAGCGGAAUGAGGUUAACAAGACUCAGGCAAGUUUCUGCCUACAGGAUGCUGAACAGCAGUUGUGAAACAGACAAGAACACUGCCAGUUUCACUAUGUUGCAACUAGGGAAAAAUGAACAGUGAAAGUACUUACAGGAAAAUGACUAAAAAAGGCUUGGGAAAGAGUAGAGUAGUAAACACCCUUCUUACUCUCCAUCAGCCAAGAGGCUCUGAAGUUGGAGGAUGAGAAAAAGCUCCUUCCAAGCAGCUAGAAAGGGACAACAGUUUUUAAAUCCAUCAGCCAGAGACCCACAAAAGAGAACAAGGUGCCGUCCUUGCUUAUGAAUCCCAGUGCCCUCUCUGUUCCCAACAACUGGGGCAGAGUUAUUGGCUUCUCACCAGGCCAUUGUCCACUGACAUGUCUGGUGCGUGGGGGCAUUCAUCUUUCAUGCUGCCUAAGCUUAGUUCACUUAGUUCUCUGGCUAGUAAAUACCUAAUAAGUUUUUCAUGCCCAGACUGAGCUUUCCUUUGAGCUUUAUGAAAUAAAAGUGCUAUGUAAGCACUAAAAGCUUCAAUUACAAUUAUUACAGGCAGAAUUAAGUCACAUACUAUGAUCAAAUAUUUUUCCCUUCCAAUUUAGUUUUUGGAUAUAUCUGGUUUAUGUUAGUAUUUAUGAGUGCAUUUUACCAACAUUCCUGGCUCGUUUUAGAAGAACCUAUCAAUGGAUUUAGAAUUCUAGAUCCAAAUACUGCAAACACUUACAUGCUUAACUUUACAUAAUCAGUCAAUUCUUCAGUGAGACCACUUCUGUACAUAAAAUUAUUUUUUUGCAGGACUGCAAUCCAAUCUGUAGUACCCCUGGCGCAUAGCCAAUUCUGGGACUCAAACUGUCAACCAGGCAACAUUUAUCAGGAUGUUAACAAAUGACAAACAGGGCAUCGGUUAAAGCCAACUCUGCGUUUCAAAUACUCAAAUCAAUAUUUGUGUGCAGAAAGAUAGUCACCUAACGCUUCUGAGAGAUUUGUGUUUUUCAUCUCUGCACACUACUAGCUACAUAGUACCAAAUACAUUGUUGCAAUGGAAGUUUCAAAAAAAAAAAAAAUCACCUCUCCAAAGUUCAUUUACAUGUACUAAACUGCAUUCUAAAAUCAAUGCAAUAAGGGUAGAGGUUCCAUAAAUAAACCAACAUAAAGGAAAUGCUGAACAUAAUGCAUUGCCUAAAACACCAGUGACUUAAUUUAAGACUAUGAUUGUACUUUUGUCACAGAAUAACUCUUCUGGCUUAAUCUAAUGGCUCAACUGCUUCAAAUUUUACUUAAAGCGAUUACUUUUUCACAAGAGCUUUUAUUGUACAUGCUUACUACAUUUAUAGCAUAAUCUGAUGGCGGGGGAGGGGAGAGUCCUCUCUUUCCUAGCCAUUUGCUCUUUCGCUUUUGCAACAAAUAAAUGGUUUAACGGACA
This is a long non-coding RNA of Chelonia mydas (Green sea turtle), 1884 nucleotides long. RefSeq lists it as uncharacterized. NCBI's taxonomy places the organism in Eukaryota, Metazoa, Chordata, Testudines, Cheloniidae. The transcript is spliced from 2 exons. The record is from RefSeq and is a predicted model, not a curated record.